Non-coding RNA from Parelaphostrongylus tenuis, 73 nucleotides. The record is from the annotation of a GenBank genome assembly. NCBI's taxonomy places the organism in Eukaryota, Metazoa, Nematoda, Chromadorea, Rhabditida, Metastrongylidae.
GCCUCAAUAGCGCAGUGGUUAGCACGCCAGCUCCGGAAAGGGUGAAACGCGGGUUCAACUCCCACCAGAGGUU